ACGAACGCUGGCGGCGUGCCUAACACAUGCAAGUCGAACGGGGAUUUGUUCGGCAGAAUCCUAGUGGCGAACGGGUGAGUAACGCGUAGGCAACCUGCCCUCCGGCCGGGGACAACACUCCGAAAGGGGUGCUAAUACCGGAUACGAAGUCUGUGCCGCAUGGUACGGAUUUGAAAGAUGGCCUCUAUUUAUAAGCUAUCGCCGGGGGAUGGGCCUGCGUCCGAUUAGCUGGUUGGUGGGGUAACGGCCUACCAAGGCGACGAUCGGUAGCCGGUCUGAGAGGAUGAUCGGACACACUGGGACUGAGACACGGCCCAGACUCCUACGGGAGACAGCAGUUAGGAAUAUUCGUCAAUGGGGGAAACCCUGAACGAGCAAUGCCGCGUGAGUGAUGAAGGUCUUAUAGAUUGUAAAACUCUGUUGUAAAGAAAGAAACCUUGGGAUAGGAAAUGAUCUCAAGCUGACGGUACUUUACCAGAAAGCCCCGGCUAACUACGUGCCAGCAGCAGC
Molecule: ribosomal RNA, 510 nt
Filed under: uncultured bacterium
Lineage: Bacteria
Description: bacterial SSU rRNA
Rfam family: Bacterial small subunit ribosomal RNA
Source: RNAcentral